Zingiber officinale is the source of this 330-nucleotide long non-coding RNA. RefSeq lists it as uncharacterized. The record is from RefSeq and is a predicted model, not a curated record. The transcript is spliced from 3 exons. Lineage: Eukaryota; Viridiplantae; Streptophyta; Magnoliopsida; Zingiberales; Zingiberaceae.
UACUUGUAGGCAUCACUCACUAAUGAUGCUACUGUAUCUGUCAACAGAUGCUUGUGGAGUCCUGAAGGUUCUAUUCUUGGUGUUGCAUUUUCAAAGCAUUUAGUGCAGAUCUAUGCUUUUAAUCUAAAUGAAGAAUUACGACAACAUUUGGAGAUUGAUGCUCAUAUAGACAGUGUUAAUGACAUUGCCUUUUCCUAUCCCAAGAAGACUCUCUCGAUCAUCACUUGCGGCGAUGACAAGGCAAUUAAAGUGAGUAAAACCAUGUGGUUGAUCAGUCAGAAGAUUGUACAAGAAGAAUUGUAUGUUCUUAACAGGUUCCGUUGCAUGAUG